GAUGAACGCUGGCGGCGUGCCUAAUACAUGCAAGUCGAGCGAACAGACGAGGAGCUUGCUCCUCUGACGUUAGCGGCGGACGGGUGAGUAACACGUGGAUAACCUACCUCUAAGGCUGGGAUAACUUCGGGAAACCGGAGCUAAUACCGGAUAAUAUAUUGAACCGCAUGGUUCAAUAGUGAAAGACGGUUUUGCUGUCACUUAUAGAUGGAUCCGCGCCGCAUUAGCUAGUUGGUAAGGUAACGGCUUACCAAGGCAACGAUGCGUAGCCGACCUGAGAGGGUGAUCGGCCACACUGGAACUGAGACACGGUCCAGACUCCUACGGGAGGCAGCAGUAGGGAAUCUUCCGCAAUGGGCGAAAGCCUGACGGAGCAACGCCGCGUGAGUGAUGAAGGUCUUCGGAUCGUAAAACUCUGUUAUUAGGGAAGAACAAAUGUGUAAGUAACUAUGCACGUCUUGACGGUACCUAAUCAGAAAGCCACGGCUAACUACGUG
RNAcentral lists this ribosomal RNA (497 nucleotides) under uncultured bacterium. Its description in RNAcentral is "partial 16S ribosomal RNA". It matches the Rfam family "Bacterial small subunit ribosomal RNA", at positions 28 to 507 of the family's 1533-position model. The record is from RNAcentral.